GAUGAAGAACGCAGCGAAAUGCGAUAAGUAAUGUGAAUUGCAGAAUUCAGUGAAUCAUCGAAUCUUUGAACGCACAUUGCGCCCCCUGGUAUUCCGGGGGGCAUGCCUGUUCGAGCGUCAUUUCACCACUCAAGCCUCGCUUGGUAUUGGGCAACGCGGUCCGCCGCGUGCCUCAAAUCGACCGGCUGGGUCUUCUGUCCCCUAAGCGUUGUGGAAACUAUUCGCUAAAGGGUGUUCGGGAGGCUACGCCGUAAAACAACCCCAUUUCUAAGGUUGACCUCGGAUCAGGUAGGGAUACCCGCUGAACUUAAGCAUAUCAUAAGCGGAGGA
This 330-nucleotide unclassified non-coding RNA is filed under the name soil metagenome. RNAcentral describes it as "partial contains 5.8S ribosomal RNA, internal transcribed spacer 2, and large subunit ribosomal RNA". The stretch from base 1 to 120 matches the Rfam family "5.8S ribosomal RNA", at positions 35 to 154 of the family's 154-position model. The record is from RNAcentral.